AUGCCAGACUCCUACGGGAGGCAGCAGUGGGGAAUAUUGCACAAUGGGGGAAACCCUGAUGCAGCGACGCCGCGUGAGUGAAGAAGUAUUUCGGUAUGUAAAGCUCUAUCAGCAGGGAAGAAAAUGACAGUACCUGACUAAGAAGCCCCGACUAACUACGUGCCAGCAGCCGCGGUAAUACGUAGGGGGCAAGCGUUAUCCGGAUUUACUGGGUGUAAAGGGGGCGCAGACGGCGAUGCAAGCCAGGAGUGAAAGCCCGGGGCCCAACCCCGGGACUGCUCUUGGAACUGCGUGGCUGGAGUGCAGGAGGGGCAGGCGGAAUUCCUGGUGUAGCGGUGAAAUGCGUAGAUAUCGGGAGGAACACCGGUGGCGAAGGCGGCCUGCUGGACUGCAACUGACGUUGAGGCCCGAAAGCGUGGGGAGCAAACAGGAUUAGAUACCCGAGUA
This 447-nucleotide ribosomal RNA is filed under the name uncultured bacterium. RNAcentral describes it as "bacterial SSU rRNA". It matches the Rfam family "Bacterial small subunit ribosomal RNA", at positions 328 to 792 of the family's 1533-position model. The record is from RNAcentral.